GUGGAUUAGAUACCCUGGUAGUCCACGCCCUAAACGAUGGCAACUAGUUGUUGGGGAUUAACAUCCUUAGUAACGCAGCUAACGCGUGAAGUUGCCCGCCUGGGGAGUACGGUCGCAAGAUUAAAACUCAAAGGAAUUGACGGGGGCCCGCACAAGCGGUGGAUGAUGUGGUUUAAUUCGAUGCAACGCGAAAAACCUUACCUACCCUUGACAUGCCAGGAAGGCCACAGAGAUGUGGUUGUGCCCGAAAGGGAACCUGGACACAGGUGCUGCACGGUUGUCGUCAACU
RNAcentral lists this ribosomal RNA (289 nucleotides) under uncultured bacterium. RNAcentral describes it as "partial 16S ribosomal RNA". It matches the Rfam family "Bacterial small subunit ribosomal RNA", at positions 773 to 1060 of the family's 1533-position model. The record is from RNAcentral.